GAUGAACGCUGGCGGCGUGCCUAAUACAUGCAAGUCGAGCGAACGGACGAGAAGCUUGCUUCUCUGAUGUUAGCGGCGGACGGGUGAGUAACACGUGGAUAACCUACCUAUAAGACUGGGAUAACUUCGGGAAACCGGAUCUAAUACCGGAUGAUAUUUUGAACCGCAUGGUUCAAAAGUGAAAGACGGUCUUGCUGUCACUUAUAGAUGGAUCCGCGCUGCAUUAGCUAGUUGGUAAGGUAACGGCUUACCAAGGCAACGAUGCAUAGCCGACCUGAGAGGGUGAUCGGCCAAACUGGAACUGAGACACGGUCCAGACUCCUACGGGAGGCAGCAGUAGGGAAUCUUCCGCAAUGGGCGAAAGCCUGACGGAGCAACGCCGCGUGAGUGAUGAAGGUCUUCGGAUCGUAAAACUCUGUUAUUAGGGAAGAACAUAUGUGUAAGUAACUGUGCACAUCUUGACGGUACCUAAUCAGAAAGCCACGGCUAACUACGUG
Molecule: ribosomal RNA, 497 nt
Filed under: uncultured bacterium
Lineage: Bacteria
Description: partial 16S ribosomal RNA
Rfam family: Bacterial small subunit ribosomal RNA
Source: RNAcentral